CAGUGAUAUUGUGCCUAACGGCACAGUGAGAUUGUUGCUACGCAACAGUGAUAUGCACGCAAAGCGUGCGUGAUAUUGCAC
RNAcentral lists this small RNA (81 nucleotides) under Firmicutes bacterium CAG:475. RNAcentral's name for it is "Gut-1 RNA". It matches the Rfam family "Gut-1 RNA". Lineage: Bacteria; Bacillati; Bacillota. The record is from Rfam by way of RNAcentral.